Molecule: long non-coding RNA, 245 nt
Filed under: Coffea arabica (coffee)
Lineage: Eukaryota; Viridiplantae; Streptophyta; Magnoliopsida; Gentianales; Rubiaceae
Description: long non-coding RNA (CARA_LNC008306)
Source: RNAcentral
UUCUUUGGGCUUUUGUAAAUAAUUCAGAUAUUCUUUCAGCAUCUCGGGAUUCUGCAUAAUUUGCUUUAUCAAAAAGUUACUGGCUGUUUCUUCGGAUGCCAUUUCCGUCACUUUUUCUUUGUCUCUUUUUGGAGUGACUGGUGUAGUGGUUGGAAUGAUUGUUGACUGUCUUGACUCCUUUUGAGUAGUGGUAGUAGCUGUCCACUUUAAUUUGUCUCCAGUGGUCAGGAAUCUGAUUACAUUAG